This 1664-nucleotide long non-coding RNA is filed under the name Lotus japonicus. RNAcentral describes it as "long non-coding RNA (LJAP_LNC000968)". The record is from RNAcentral. Lineage: Eukaryota; Viridiplantae; Streptophyta; Magnoliopsida; Fabales; Fabaceae.
UUGCAUUGAAGUGGAACACCAGGCAAUUUGCAAGCACGAGGAAGAGAGAUGGCCAAUGUACGGUUGAUCGGUAUGCUGAAGGGAACGUUGCCGGUGACAACGAGACAUAAGCAGUCCCUGCCCCCACUUGUGAGGGAUUUGAUGGAGACGCAGCACUCUGCAGUAGGUGAGGUUCCAUUGCCACUGCUAUUUGUGAGGAAACUCAUGCAAGGGGUGAAGGAACUGCUGAUCGCUGAUACGUUACAUGGUGUGUUGAUCUGGGCGUAGCCCGGUGCAGCCAUGAAUAUAGCCAUGGCUAAUACCAAAGCUAGAGGCACAAAACGCUCCAUGUUCUAAAGUUCAGAGGUUUUGGCUAAGAAACUCAAUAAUCAAGAGAAUUAGUAGUGUUCAGAAGUAGAGAAGAAAAAAUGGAUUUGAAUUGGAGGUUUGAUAGUUUGAAAAGAGCAAGUAGGGGAACUUAAUUUAUAGAUAGUGUAUGAAGAAGAGAAGCAUAAGGAAAAUAAUAGGUGGCUUCAAAGUUGGUUCAAAAGCACAACUACCAUAACUAACCAAGGGGAAAUGAAAGAGUUUGAAGAAGAGGCUUGCAACCCCUAUAGUAUAGAACCCAUUUUGGCUAAUCCUGUUAAGCUUAACAAGUGGCAUAUGAAGCAUUCUACCCUAUUCAUCAGUGAAACAAACUGAACUACUGUUGGCUCAAAUUAUUGGCAUCUUUGAUAAUUAAUUAUCGAGUUGGUAAGUUUCAAGUCAAAUCAUUCUUUUUAGGUCAGCUGCUUGGGUGGAUAACCGAAUCCCAGUAGCAGUUAAUCAAUUCAAAUCCUGUAGAAUUUGGCUAGUUAAAUGCUUUGAUAGAUGCUGGAAUAAAUCUGUAACUAAAAAGCUUACCAUGUCAAUAGUCUGCUAGUUACCCUAGACAUAUUUACCAAUCCCCUCAUGUGUAAGUAUUAACCAUUGUGAAAACUGAUUUUGAUAGAAUUAAUUUUGGUAAAAUUGGUUAUGGAGAAAUCAGUUGAAAGUAAAGUUAUUUAUGUUUGUAUACGCUUAUAGGACAUGUCACAAUUUAUUAUGUCUAUCGCAAAAGUUAUUCUCUUAACUUCUCACAAAAUUGAUUUUGGGACUAAAAUUAAUUUUCUAUAUAAGCACCAUGAAGGGAUUCUAAUAGAUGAAAAUUGAUUCUAAGACUCCCCAAACCUGGAGACACGUUAUUGUCACUCUGUUAAGACACCUGGAUUUUUUUUUCUUUGGUCAUAUUUUUCAGUCAGCAGUUUUUAAUAUAUUAAAGAUGAAUCAUAAAGCUAGAAAAGACGCUUCUAAAACCCUCAGAUGCCAAAAGUUGGUGAUCCGUCUAACCGACCUGACUUUAGAAAUUUCCAUGUAAUAUCAUAAUUAUUCAACAAAGGUCCCACGAGGAAGAGAGAUGGCCAAUGUACGGUUGAUCGGUAUGCUGAAGGGAACGUUGCCGGUGACAACGAGACAUAAGCAGUCCCUGCCCCCACUUGUGAGGGAUUUGAUGGAGUCGCAGCACUCUGCAGUAGGUGAGGUUCCAUUGCCACUGCUAUUUGUGAGGAAACUCAUGCAAGGGGUGAAGGAAGUGCUUAUCGCUGAUACGUUACAUGGUGUGUUGAUCUGGGCGUAGCCCGGUGCAGCCAUGAAUAUAGCCAUGGCUA